AUGAUAGGAAUGGUGGAUGCGUUUAGAAAUACUCCUUUAAAUUGUGGUGCUAACAGGAGUACUGCAGGAAUGACUGAUAAAUUCUACUCCUUGUCCAAUGUGAAAUUGCCUCAGAAUGCUGACAACAUACGCUCUACUACCAGUGCUAGAGAAUGUGCAGAAGUUUGCCCAAGAAAUUGCUCUUGCACUGCAUAUUCUUGCACCAAAAGUCGAUGCUCUAUUUGGCAUGAGGAACUCCUCAAUGUAAAACAACAACAUGCUGACACUACCGACACAAAUGAUGGUGCAGUUCUUUAUCUUUGCCUUGCUGCAAAAGAGAUGCAAACUCAGAAACCUGGCAGAAGAGUGACCACUCGGAUUUUGGCAGUUACCAUUGUCGCUGCCCUGGGGUUACUGGUACUCAUAGUGCUAGUUCUUAUAUUGAUGAUUCGGAAGAACAAUAGGAGUUGGUCUGGUGGUAUACUGAUAAAUCCUCAAGACGGUGGAAUUAUUGCAUUUAGAUACACUGAUUUGCUGUGGGCAACAAGAAAUUUCUCGGAGGAGCUAGGUGCCGGCGGCUUUGGUUCUGUGUUCAAGGCAUAUCUGACUGACUCGGUUACAAUGGCAGUGAAAAGGCUUGAUGGUGCUUGCCAAGGAGAAAAACAAUUCAGGGCCGAGGUGACUUCAAUGAGGGUUAUACACCAUAUCAAUUUAGUUAGACUGAUCGGUUUCUGCUGCGAGGGUGAACGAAGGUUGCUUGCAUAUGAGUACAUGCCAAAUUGCUCUCUUGACAUCCAUCUAUUUCAAAACAACAGCACGGUUUUAAACUGGGGUACCAGGUUUAAAAUAGCUCUGGGAGUUGCUAGGGGGCUGGCUUACCUGCAUGAGAGCUGCCAAGACUUGAUCAUACACUGUGAUAUCAAACCAAAAAAUAUACUCCUCGAUGAGUCGUUCAUUGCUAAAAUUGCUGACUUUGGUAUGGCCAAGUUAAUAGGGAGGGACUUUAGCCGGGUUCUGACUACAGCAAGAGGAACCGUAGGAUAA
RNAcentral lists this ribosomal RNA (1023 nucleotides) under Triticum aestivum (bread wheat). Its description in RNAcentral is "partial small subunit ribosomal RNA". The record is from RNAcentral. Lineage: Eukaryota; Viridiplantae; Streptophyta; Magnoliopsida; Poales; Poaceae.